This 120-nucleotide ribosomal RNA is filed under the name Rosa chinensis. Lineage: Eukaryota; Viridiplantae; Streptophyta; Magnoliopsida; Rosales; Rosaceae. The record is from RNAcentral.
GGGUGCGAUCAUACCAGCAAUAAUGCACCGGAUCCCAUCAGAACUCCGAAGUUAAGCUUGCUUGGGCGAGAGCAGUACUGGAUGGGUGACCUCCUGGGAAGUCCUCGUGUUGCACCCCUC